GGCUGAAAUUCGCCUUCAUGAAGCCGGAAUUGCUAGUAAUGGCAGGUCAGCAUACUGCCGUGAAUACGUUCCCGGGCCUUGUACACACCGCCCGUCACACCCAUGAGAGUUGGGAAUACCCGAAGCCUGUGAGCUAACUUUAAGAGGCAGCAGUCGAAGGUAGAAUCAAUGAUUGGGGUGAAGUCGUAACAAGGUAUC
This 198-nucleotide ribosomal RNA is filed under the name uncultured bacterium. RNAcentral describes it as "partial 16S ribosomal RNA". It matches the Rfam family "Bacterial small subunit ribosomal RNA", at positions 1303 to 1500 of the family's 1533-position model. The record is from RNAcentral.